This is an RNA transcript of Mesocricetus auratus (golden hamster), 1476 nucleotides long. RefSeq lists it as uncharacterized. The transcript has 5 exons. The record is from RefSeq and is a predicted model, not a curated record. NCBI's taxonomy places the organism in Eukaryota, Metazoa, Chordata, Mammalia, Rodentia, Cricetidae.
CGGGGGCCUGGAGUGGGGUGGGGUUGGCAUCUGUUAAACCCACGCCAAGGGAGCUAGACUCCAUUCCUAGCGGAGCUGGGAGAGUGUGAGCACGGGAGGGCAUGCGCCGGCUGUUGCUCUGGCAACCACCUGGAAGGGUCAAAGCAGGAAGAGGACUGAGACUAGAGAGCACGCUGUGGCCGAGUCUCCCCGGCCAAUUUCAAUGAGAAAGGAAGGAGGGCAACGGCACAGAGCACUUCCGGGUUACACCAGCCUGGCUGUCACAGCAGCACCAGCAGACACACUGGGGAGGGUCCCUGCAGUGGAAUUAGUAUUCCCCCAAAGGGCCCGGCGUGGCGCUGCGCCCGCCACGGCCCGUGAUUAAUCGCCGUCUCCAGAAGGUCACCUCCAGCCACUGCAGAUUAACUCAGUGGGGAAACUUCUUUCCGUAAUUCAAGCUGUUGUUCCCACAACCUGUCAUCCGCCUUGGAAAAGGACGAUUUCGUCAGGGAGCCCGGGGCGGGGGCUGGCCCGCUCCCCAGCCCCUCCCGGCUGCAGACAUGAUAUAUGCCGGGCGAAGUUCUAUUCUCUUUCCAGCUCAUUUAACCCCACAGGAGAGAAGGCGGCGAUCUGAGCACUUGGAUCACCCUUACAGCAGCAGCCAUGCUCUCUCCAGGCCUCGCCUACCACGCCCCCAGCGUUCCAGAUGGGGCAGCACACCAUGGGGCUGGUGACAACAUCUAGAAACAGUAGAGAUGGCCGGAGAGCCAGAGGAGGGGGAGUCCAGGCUUACUCCCCACUAAGCCUAAUCUGUGAAGGGACAGGAUCUCCACACAAGCAGCUCUGAAACCUUCACACCUCCCCCUAUCCCCAAAACCCAGAAGGGUGUGGAAAUGCCUUGGUUCCUUCCAGUCCUGUUCAGGCCCCAGGGCAAGCCAACCUUGUUUUCUCAUCUGCAGUGGGCUGUGAAACCUCAAUGUGUGUGUGUGUGUGUGUGUGUGUGUGUGUGUGUGUGUGUGUGUGUGUGUGUGAGACACCCACACUCCACCGUGGAGCCACACCCCUACCGUGUUCUGUUUGCUUAUUUGAGAUAGGGUCUCCUGUAGCCCAGGCUGGCCUCCCACACCUGAGCAUCAGCCAUUGAUGGGAUAUGAUUAUAGGCAUGGGCCACCAUUCCUGCUGUGGGGCUGGGUUUUUUGUUACCCCACCUCCCCACCCCCAGACAGGUUGUCUCUGUGUAACAGCCCUGGCUGUCCUGGAACUCUCUUUGUAGGCCAGGCUGUCCUCGAACUCAGUGAUCCACUGUGAUCCACUUGCCUCUGUUUCCUAAAUGGCAAAUGCUGAGAUAAAACCCUGCCCGAGGCGCGCGUGGGGGAGAUGGGGCGUGGUUUUGGUUUUUCGAGACAGGGUUUUUCUGUGUAGCCUGGCUGUCCUGGAGCUCACAAUGAAGACCAGGCUGGUCUAGAACUCAGAGAUUCUCCUCCCUCUAUCUCCUGA